UAGUCCUACGGGGCGCAGCAGUAGGGAAUCUUCCACAAUGGACGAAAGUCUGAUGGAGCAACGCCGCGUGAGUGAAGAAGUAUUUCGGUAUGUAAAGCUCUAUCAGCAGGGAAGAAGAUGACAGUACCUGAGUAAGAAGCCCCGGCUAACUACGUGCCAGCAGCCGCGGUAAUACGUAGGGGGCAAGCGUUAUCCGGAUUUACUGGGUGUGAAGGGAGCGUAGACGGUUGUAUAAGUCUGGAGUGAAAGCCCGGGGCCCAACCCCGGGACUGCUUUGGAAACUGUGUAACUUGAGUACAGGAGGG
This 305-nucleotide ribosomal RNA is filed under the name uncultured bacterium. RNAcentral's name for it is "bacterial SSU rRNA". It matches the Rfam family "Bacterial small subunit ribosomal RNA", at positions 334 to 656 of the family's 1533-position model. The record is from RNAcentral.